This 402-nucleotide RNase P RNA is filed under the name Bacteroidota bacterium. RNAcentral describes it as "Bacteroidetes bacterium (bioreactor metagenome) RNase P RNA component class A". It matches the Rfam family "Bacterial RNase P class A". From Rfam's summary of the family: Ribonuclease P (RNase P) is a ubiquitous endoribonuclease, found in archaea, bacteria and eukarya as well as chloroplasts and mitochondria. Its best characterised activity is the generation of mature 5'-ends of tRNAs by cleaving the 5'-leader elements of precursor-tRNAs. Lineage: Bacteria; Pseudomonadati; Bacteroidota. RNAcentral also lists the same sequence under 2 other names. The record is from RNAcentral.
GGCUAGAGCCGACCUAUCGCUCUGUAAAGUGUACAGAGAGGAAAGUCCGGGCAGCAAAGGGUGCCGCACCUUGCGAAAGCAAGGGUGCAAGUCGCAAAGUCUUGUAACAGACAGUGCCACAGAAAUCAGACCGCCCCCUGCUAUGCCGGGGGCAAGGGUGAAAAGGUGGGGUAAGAGCCCACCGAUGUAAAAGGCAACUUUUACAGUCAGGAAAACCUUGCGGGCUGAAAGACCAAAUAAACCCUGCUUUUGGGGUUACUCGCUCCAGUUAGUUUUUCACUACGGCAGGAAGGGUAGGUCGAUUGUGGUUAUGUGCAAACAUAAUCCCAGAUAAAUGAUAGGUAAUGUAGUUUAGACUUCUAAACUACAAAACAGAACCCGGCUUACAGGCUCUUUACGCUA